This 654-nucleotide ribosomal RNA is filed under the name Bacillus velezensis. Its description in RNAcentral is "bacterial SSU rRNA". It matches the Rfam family "Bacterial small subunit ribosomal RNA", at positions 1 to 636 of the family's 1533-position model. Lineage: Bacteria; Bacillati; Bacillota; Bacilli; Caryophanales; Bacillaceae. The record is from RNAcentral.
UUUAUCGGAGAGUUUGAUCCUGGCUCAGGACGAACGCUGGCGGCGUGCCUAAUACAUGCAAGUCGAGCGGACAGAUGGGAGCUUGCUCCCUGAUGUUAGCGGCGGACGGGUGAGUAACACGUGGGUAACCUGCCUGUAAGACUGGGAUAACUCCGGGAAACCGGGGCUAAUACCGGAUGCUUGUUUGAACCGCAUGGUUCAGACAUAAAAGGUGGCUUCGGCUACCACUUACAGAUGGACCCGCGGCGCAUUAGCUAGUUGGUGAGGUAACGGCUCACCAAGGCGACGAUGCGUAGCCGACCUGAGAGGGUGAUCGGCCACACUGGGACUGAGACACGGCCCAGACUCCUACGGGAGGCAGCAGUAGGGAAUCUUCCGCAAUGGACGAAAGUCUGACGAAGCAACGCCGCGUGAGUGAUGAAGGUUUUCGGAUCGUAAAGCUCUGUUGUUAGGGAAGAACAAGUGCCGUUCAAAUAGGGCGGCACCUUGACGGUACCUAACCAGAAAGCCACGGCUAACUACGUGCCAGCAGCCGCGGUAAUACGUAGGUGGCAAGCGUUGUCCGGAAUUAUUGGGCGUAAAGGGCUCGCAGGCGGUUUCUUAAGUCUGAUGUGAAAGCCCCCGGCUCAACCGGGGAGGGUCAUUGGAAACUGG